Molecule: ribosomal RNA, 253 nt
Filed under: uncultured bacterium
Lineage: Bacteria
Description: partial 16S ribosomal RNA
Rfam family: Bacterial small subunit ribosomal RNA
Source: RNAcentral
UACGGAGGGUGCAAGCGUUAUCCGGAUUUACUGGGUUUAAAGGGUGUGUAGGCGGGUAUUUAAGUCAGUGGUGAAAUCUCCGAGCUCAACUUGGAAACUGCCAUUGAUACUAUUUAUCUUGAAUUUUGUUGAGGUAGGCGGAAUAAGUCAUGUAGCGGUGAAAUGCAUAGAUAUGACUUAGAACACCAAUUGCGAAGGCAGCUUGCUAAACAAAUAUUGACGCUGAGGCACGAAAGCGUGGGGAUCAAACAGG